AAAUUGAAGAGUUUGAUCAUGGCUCAGAUUGAACGCUGGCGGCAGGCCUAACACAUGCAAGUCGAACGGUAACAGGAAGCAGCUUGCUGCUUUGCUGACGAGUGGCGGACGGGUGAGUAAUGUCUGGGAAACUGCCUGAUGGAGGGGAUAACUACUGGAAACGGUGGCUAAUACCGCAUAACGUCGCAAGACCAAAGAGGGGGACCUUCGGGCCUCUUGCCAUCAGAUGUGCCCAGAUGGGAUUAGCUGGUAGGUGGGGUAACGGCUCACCUAGGCGACGAUCCCUAGCUGGUCUGAGAGGAUGACCAGCCACACUGGAACUGAGACACGGUCCAGACUCCUACGGGAGGCAGCAGUGGGGAAUAUUGCACAAUGGGCGCAAGCCUGAUGCAGCCAUGCCGCGUGUAUGAAGAAGGCCUUCGGGUUGUAAAGUACUUUCAGCGGGGAGGAAGGUGUUGUGGUUAAUAACCGCAGCAAUUGACGUUACCCGCAGAAGAAGCACCGGCUAACUCCGUGCCAGCAGCCGCGGUAAUACGGAGGGUGCAAGCGUUAAUCGGAAUUACUGGGCGUAAAGCGCACGCAGGCGGUCUGUCAAGUCGGAUGUGAAAUCCCGGGCUCAACCUGGGAACUGCAUUCGAAACUGGCAGGCUUGAGUCUUGUAGAGGGGGGUAGAAUUCCAGGUGUAGCGGUGAAAUGCGUAGAGAUCUGGAGGAAUACCGGUGGCGAAGGCGGCCCCCUGGACAAAGACUGACGCUCAGGUGCGAAAGCGUGGGGAGCAAACAGGAUUAGAUACCCUGGUAGUCCACGCCGUAAACGAUGUCUACUUGGAGGCUGUGCCCUUGAGGCGUGGCUUCCGGAGCUAACGCGUUAAGUAGACCGCCUGGGGAGUACGGCCGCAAGGUUAAAACUCAAAUGAAUUGACGGGGGCCCGCACAAGCGGUGGAGCAUGUGGUUUAAUUCGAUGCAACGCGAAGAACCUUACCUGGUCUUGACAUCCACAGAAUCCUGUAGAGAUACGGGAGUGCCUUCGGGAACUGUGAGACAGGUGCUGCAUGGCUGUCGUCAGCUCGUGUUGUGAAAUGUUGGGUUAAGUCCCGCAACGAGCGCAACCCUUAUCCUUUGUUGCCAGCGGUCCGGCCGGGAACUCAAAGGAGACUGCCAGUGAUAAACUGGAGGAAGGUGGGGAUGACGUCAAGUCAUCAUGGCCCUUACGACCAGGGCUACACACGUGCUACAAUGGCAUAUACAAAGAGAAGCGACCUCGCGAGAGCAAGCGGACCUCAUAAAGUAUGUCGUAGUCCGGAUUGGAGUCUGCAACUCGACUCCAUGAAGUCGGAAUCGCUAGUAAUCGUGGAUCAGAAUGCCACGGUGAAUACGUUCCCGGGCCUUGUACACACCGCCCGUCACACCAUGGGAGUGGGUUGCAAAAGAAGUAGGUAGCUUAACCUUCGGGAGGGCGCUUACCACUUUGUGAUUCAUGACUGGGGUGAAGUCGUAACAAGGUAACCGUAGGGGAACCUGCGGUUGGAUCACCUCCUUACCUGAAAGAA
Molecule: ribosomal RNA, 1550 nt
Filed under: Salmonella enterica
Lineage: Bacteria; Pseudomonadati; Pseudomonadota; Gammaproteobacteria; Enterobacterales; Enterobacteriaceae
Description: bacterial SSU rRNA
Rfam family: Bacterial small subunit ribosomal RNA
Source: RNAcentral